Molecule: ribosomal RNA, 1331 nt
Filed under: metagenome
Description: bacterial SSU rRNA
Rfam family: Bacterial small subunit ribosomal RNA
Source: RNAcentral
AUACCGCAUACGAUCUACGGAUGAAAGUGGGGGAUCGCAAGACCUCAUGCUCAUGGAGCGGCCGAUAUCUGAUUAGCUAGUUGGUAGGGUAAAAGCCUACCAAGGCUUCGAUCAGUAGCUGGUCUGAGAGGACGACCAGCCACACUGGAACUGAGACACGGUCCAGACUCCUACGGGAGGCAGCAGUGGGGAAUUUUGGACAAUGGGCGCAAGCCUGAUCCAGCAAUGCCGCGUGAGUGAAGAAGGCCUUCGGGUUGUAAAGCUCUUUUGUCAGGGAAGAAACGGUGGACUCUAAUACAGAUCACUAAUGACGGUACCUGAAGAAUAAGCACCGGCUAACUACGUGCCAGCAGCCGCGGUAAUACGUAGGGUGCAAGCGUUAAUCGGAAUUACUGGGCGUAAAGCGUGCGCAGUCGGUUGUGCAAGACAGAUGUGAAAUCCCCGGGCUCAACCUGGGAAUUGCAUUUGUGACUGCACGGCUAGAGUGUGUCAGAGGGGGGUAGAAUUCCACGUGUAGCAGUGAAAUGCGUAGAGAUGUGGAGGAAUACCGAUGGCGAAGGCAGCCCCCUGGGAUAACACUGACGCUCAUGCACGAAAGCGUGGGGAGCAAACAGGAUUAGAUACCCUGGUAGUCCACGCCCUAAACGAUGUCUACUAGUUGUUGGGUCUUAAUUGACUUAGUAACGCAGCUAACGCGUGAAGUAGACCGCCUGGGGAGUACGGUCGCAAGAUUAAAACUCAAAGGAAUUGACGGGGACCCGCACAAGCGGUGGAUGAUGUGGUUUAAUUCGAUGCAACGCGAAAAACCUUACCUACCCUUGACAUGUACGGAAUCCCUGAGAGAUUAGGGAGUGCUCGAAAGAGAGCCGUAACACAGGUGCUGCAUGGCUGUCGUCAGCUCGUGUCGUGAGAUGUUGGGUUAAGUCCCGCAACGAGCGCAACCCUUGUCAUUAGUUGCUACGAAAGGGCACUCUAAUGAGACUGCCGGUGACAAACCGGAGGAAGGUGGGGAUGACGUCAAGUCCUCAUGGCCCUUAUGGGUAGGGCUUCACACGUCAUACAAUGGUACAUACAGAGGGCCGCCAACCCGCGAGGGGGAGCUAAUCCCAGAAAGUGUAUCGUAGUCCGGAUUGUAGUCUGCAACUCGACUACAUGAAGUUGGAAUCGCUAGUAAUCGCGGAUCAGCAUGUCGCGGUGAAUACGUUCCCGGGUCUUGUACACACCGCCCGUCACACCAUGGGAGCGGGUUUCACCAGAAGUAGGUAGCCUAACCGUAGGGAGGGCGCUUACCACGGUGGGAUUCGUGACUGGGGUGAAGUCGUAACAAGGUA